This 253-nucleotide ribosomal RNA is filed under the name uncultured bacterium. RNAcentral's name for it is "partial 16S ribosomal RNA". It matches the Rfam family "Bacterial small subunit ribosomal RNA", at positions 524 to 776 of the family's 1533-position model. The record is from RNAcentral.
UACGAGGGGGGCGAGCGUUGUUCGGAAUUAUUGGGCGUAAAGGGUGCGUAGGCGGCUUUGUAAGUUAGAGGUGAAAGCCCGGGGCUCAACUCCGGAAUUGCCUUUAAGACUGCAUCGCUAGAAUUGUGGAGAGGUAAGUGGAAUUCCGAGUGUAGAGGUGAAAUUCGUAGAUAUUCGGAAGAACACCAGUGGCGAAGGCGACUUACUGGACACAUAUUGACGCUGAGGUGCGAAAGCGUGGGGAGCAAACAGG